Molecule: long non-coding RNA, 2734 nt
Organism: Lycium ferocissimum
Lineage: Eukaryota; Viridiplantae; Streptophyta; Magnoliopsida; Solanales; Solanaceae
Exons: 3
Source: RefSeq, a predicted model, not a curated record
UAUUUAAUUGAUGGGCCCAAGCCCAACUAAGCUUAGUUGUUUCUCUAACUAUUAAUAAUCUUUAUCUUGUCAUUAGGAGGGGAAUUUUUGAAUAGAUGAAUAUUUCAUAAGCAACCUUUUUGCUUGUGGAGACCUUUGAGGUUCUCUUUAGGGUUUUGCUCCUUUUGUUCUACUUUGAAUCAAAGCUUGGAUGUCUUUAAUGAGUAAGGAAGAAUUGUGGGAGAACAAAUAAUCAUAUUGGGCAAAACUAUAUGAAUCAUUACAAUGAAGGAUGUGGUAUAGAUAGAUAUCUGAGUUACCAAGAAAUGUUUUAGAUGAUAUCUUGAACCGCAUGGUCAUCAAAGAAAUAGCAAGGUGAGUGUCUUGUUACAAAAAUGAAAUCGUAUAUGGCCUACUCAUUCAAUCCUUGUGUUUGAUUGUCAGUACAAUGAGAAAAUAAAAUACCAAAAUCUAUUAUCAUUCUAGUCACUUUUGAGUUCAAAAACAUUGUCAGCAAAAUCCUCUUGCAACACAAUGACCUUACUGUCAAGUUUGUCCUUGACAUGUCAAGUGUUGAUUUAGACGAUUGAGACACCCAUCAUUUGCUACGAUAUAUCUCUAACAUUUUUCUGAGUUCCUUAAAAAUUCUAUUGGAGAACUUUUAGGGUUCUCGUUAGGGCGAGUCGGUGGUCGUCUACUAGACAAAGCUGGAGAUGGAGGUCGCGCGGCCGGGCUUUCAAAAUUCUGUGCAUCAGCUUUUGCCAUUAAUUAUGCAUUUAUAGAGUCAGUGUCAGAUGAUGCCGAAGAAAUAACCUGUUGUUGCAACUGGAAAAUUAAUGAAUCAGUAUUAGAACCCUACUGCUGUUGAUAAUUGAGAUACGACAAAAACAUUUUUUAUGUGUGAUUUCUUUAACAAACGUCACCCAAGUGACCCUUUGUAUGACCUGCUAUGUCUUGGCUUGAAGUCAAGAUUCUUGCACGAAGGCUGCAUUGGUACAUAUACCUACCUGGCCCAUUUUGUCCCUGUAUUUUGAAGAAUCUUUGGUACAAUUUUAGGCUGUUAGUUUUCAAGUGUUGCUCGUCAUUUUAGGGAAUUGCUCAUCCUUCGGUCUCUCAUCAAUAAUGUUUCUUGGACAUCUAUAACUUUGUUUUGAAGAUGAUAGACAAAAUGUUGGAUUUUUCAAGAAACGUCAUAGAUGAUAAACAGAAUGAUGAAACUCUCUAAAUUGAUGAGCAACUCUUGAAAAGUAACAGCCUAAAAUUGUACAAAACACUCUUCAAAAUGCUGGGACAAAAUGGGCUGAGGGGGUAUAUAUACCAAUGCAUCCAUUGUGCAAGAAUCUUGGCUUCAAUCCAAGACAUAACAGACUAUUCAAAGGGUCACUAGGUGAUGGCUGGGUUAAAGGAACCGCCUAAAAAAAAUAUUUUUGCCGUGGCCCAAUUAUCAACAGCAACAGGGUUCUACUACUGACUCAUCAAUUUCCCAGCCGCAACAACAGGUUGUUUCUGCAGCACGAUCGGACACUGACACAAAUGCAUAAUUAAUGGCAAAAGCUGAUGCACAGAAUUUUGAAAGCCCCACCGCGCAGCCUUCGUCUCCAGCUUCGUCUAGCAGAUGACCACCGACCCACCCUAGCCUGAACUCUAGAAGUUCUACAAUAGAAUUUUUAAGGAGCAUAGUAAAAUAUUGGAGACUUAUCGUAGCCAAUGAUAGAUGUCCGAUCGUCUAAAUCAUCACCUAAUAUGUCAAGGACAAACUUGAUAAUAGGAUCAUUGUGUUGCAAGAGAAUCUUGUUGACGAUGUUUUUGAAGUCAUCAAUGACUGAGGAUGAUGAUAGAUUUUAGUAAUUUAUUUUCUCAUGGAAUUGGCUAUCAAGCACAGGGAUUGGAUGUGUAAAUCAGAUAUGGUUCCAUUUUUGUGACAAGACACUCAUCCUUGCUAUUUCCUUGAUGGCCAUGCGGUUCAAAAUAUUAUCUUUAAUGUUUUGUGGUAACUCAGAUAUUCUGUCUAUACCACGUCCUUCAUUACAACGAUUCACAUAGUCUAGUUCAAAGAAGCACCAGAGACCUAAAGGCAAGCUAUACGCCGAUGAUUCUGCGCCAGAUCAUGCUAAAUAUCAAUCCAAAAUUUGAUGGGCUAAAACAGGCUCAGCUAAUAAAUGAUGGGGUAAUUUUACCACUUUUAAUUAUCGUCAGGCGUUCCGGGCUUGAACUUUUGGGUUCGGGCGUUAAAUCCUUGGAGAAUGCCAUGGAAUUCAGCUUGUAUUGACCAAGGGUCGGACCUAUGGCCGAGCCGGGCUUUGCUACUCGAGCAUCGAUGGUGAAAUCGUCAUGAUUGGGUUAUGGAAAUUGGGCUCAGAAAAAGUGGGAGUCAGGUGGGUGUGAAUUGUGAUUCAGUUGUGUUGGUUAAGCCUAGUCCCGUUAUGUUAGUUCAGUGGGUUUCACUUGCGAAUAGAGUUUUGAGGGUUUUAGCCCAAAUUUCAAUUAAGGACAGGUAUUUAACUUUUCUCCAUGCUAUUCAUUAAAAUAUCUUGUUGUAUUGAAAAUUCAGCGGUUAUUUGUGAUUGGUUUGGAUUCAUUAGGUUAAAGAAAUUUGAGAGCUAUCGAGUUUUGAGGUCUGACUUGAAUCUAACCAUUGAGAAAUGUUGAGAUUGGUGUUAGGAUGUUGGCUAUUAAAUUUGGAGUCACUUGGAGUUGAUUUGGUCCGAUUUGGAUCAAUUUUGGAGCAAAAAAGUGUGGUGAAAUUUCUCAAGAA